CAGCCGCCGCGGUAAUACGGAGGUGGCAAGCGUUGUUCGGAAUUAUUGGGCGUAAAGGGCGCGUAGGCGGCUUUGCAAGUCAGAUGUGAAAUCCCCGGGCUUAACUCGGGAAUUGCAUCUGAAACUGCUUUGCUUGAGUUCUGGAGGGGGUAGUGGAAUUCCCAGUGUAGCGGUGAAAUGCGUAGAUAUUGGGAGGAACACCUGCGGCGAAGGCGGCUACCUGGACAGUAACUGACGCUGAUGCGCGAAAGCUAGGGGAGCGAACGGGAUUAGAUACCCCCGUAGUCCUAGCCGUAAACGAUGGGCACUUGGUGUUGGGGGUAUUGAGUCCCUCGGUGCCGGAGUUAACACGUUAAGUGCCCCGCCUGGGGAGUACGGUCGCAAGACUGAAACUCAAAGGAAUUGACGGGGGCCCGCACAAGCGGUGGAGCAUGUGGUUCAAUUCGACGCAACGCGAAGAACCUUACCGGGGCUCGAACGGUAACUGCUACCCUUGGAAACAGGGGAUUCUCUUCGGAGACGGUUAUCGAGGUGCUGCAUGGCUGUCGUCAGCUCGUGUCGUGAGAUGUUGGGUUAAGUCCCGCAACGAGCGCAACCCUUGCCCUUAGUUGCCAUCAGGCUAUGCUGGGCACCCUAAGGGAACUGUCGGCGAAAAGCCGGGAGGAAGGUGGGGAUGACGUCAAGUCCUCAUGGCCCUUACGUCCCGGGCUACACACGUGCUACAAUGGUCGGUACAAAGGGUCGCCAACCCGCGAGGGGGAGCUAAUCCCAAAAAGCCGAUCUCAGUUCGGAUUGCAGUCUGCAACUCGACUGCAU
This 816-nucleotide ribosomal RNA is filed under the name uncultured bacterium. Its description in RNAcentral is "bacterial SSU rRNA". It matches the Rfam family "Bacterial small subunit ribosomal RNA", at positions 509 to 1321 of the family's 1533-position model. The record is from RNAcentral.